RNAcentral lists this ribosomal RNA (1053 nucleotides) under Triticum aestivum (bread wheat). Its description in RNAcentral is "partial small subunit ribosomal RNA". Lineage: Eukaryota; Viridiplantae; Streptophyta; Magnoliopsida; Poales; Poaceae. The record is from RNAcentral.
AUGACCGGACAUAAACACAUGUUCUGUGAGCUUGCUAAAAAUGACGGCCCUCGAAAGUAUGUCACUUUUGGUGAUAAUUCAAAGGGUAAGGUGGUUGGCCUUGGUAAGGUGGCCAUCUCACAUGAUAGCUCCAUACAAAAUGUCAUGCUCGUUGAAUCCCUUGGAUACAAUUUACUUUCAGUUUCUAGACUUGCGGAUUUCGAGUUCAAUGUCUUAUUCACUGAAGUAGAUUGCCAAGUGUUUCGUAGAGACAAUCAUAAAAUGGUCUUUACCGGUAUACGUAGAGGGGAUCUUUACAUUGUUGAUUUCACUAAAAAGGCUCAACCUAAAACUUGCUUAAUUGCCAAAUCUUCUAAAGGCUGGUUGUGGCAUAGAAGACUAGGUCAUGUUGGUAUGCGAAAUCUUGAUAAGCUUAUUAAAGGUGAUCAUAUCCUUGGAAUAAAAGAUGUCAUAUUUGACAAGGAUAGACUUUGUAGUGCUUGUCAAGCAGGGAAACAAGUUGGAGGAAGUCACCGCGCGAAGAACAUCAUGACCACAAGAAGACCACUCGAGCUACUUCACAUGGAUCUCUUUGGUCCAAAUGCCUACAAGAGUCUCGGUGGUAACUCAUUUGGUCUAGUCAUAGUUGAUGAUUUUUCAAGAUUUACGUGGGUGUUCUUUCUUGAUGACAAAUUGCAGGUCCAAAAGAUCUUCAAAAACUUCGCUAGGAAGGCCCAAAAUCAGUUUGACGUGAAGAUCAAGAAGGUUCGGGGUGAAAAUGGAACGGAGUUCAAGAACGCAAAUGUGGACACCUUUCUUGACGAAGAAGGGAUUUCACACGAGUUCUCGGCUACGUACACACCUCAACAAAAUGGAGUUGUUGAAAGGAAGAACCGGACUCUUAUCGAGAUGGCAAGAACGAUGCUUGAUGAGUACAAAACGCCAAAGCACUUUUGGGCGGAAGCGGUUGAGACAGCUUGUCAUGCAACAAAUUGCUUGUAUCUUCACAAGCUACUCGGCAAGACGGCAUACGAGCUCCUCACCGGUAACAAACCCCAAGUUGGAUACUUUUGA